Molecule: ribosomal RNA, 484 nt
Filed under: uncultured Pelotomaculum sp.
Lineage: Bacteria; Bacillati; Bacillota; Clostridia; Eubacteriales; Desulfotomaculaceae
Description: bacterial SSU rRNA
Rfam family: Bacterial small subunit ribosomal RNA
Source: RNAcentral
UACAAAGGAAGUUGACGGGGCCCGGCACAAGCGGUGGAGCAUGUGGUUAAUUCGACGCAACGCGAAGAACCUUACCAGGGCUUGACAUCCCCUGACCGCGUAUGAAAGUACGUUUUCACCCUCGGGUGACAGGGAGACAGGUGGUGCAUGGUUGUCGUCAGCUCGUGUCGUGAGAUGUUGGGUUAAGUCCCGCAACGAGCGCAACCCCUACGUUUAGUUGCUAACAGGUGAAGCUGAGCACUCUAGACGAACUGCCGUUGACAAAACGGAGGAAGUGGGGAUGACGUCAAAUCAUCAUGCCCCUUAUGUUCUGGGCUACACACGUGCUACAAUGGCCGGUACAGACGGAGGCGAAGCCGCGAGGCGGAGCAAAUCCGAAAAAGCCGGUCUCAGUUCGGAUUGCAGGCUGCAAUUCGCCUGCAUGAAGUCGGAAUCGCUAGUAAUCGCAGGUCAGCAUACUGCGGUGAAUACGUUCCCGGGCCUU